CCACAUAAAUUUGAAAUUCUGCAUUUUCCUGGGUAAAUUUAUAGGAUAAUUAAUGCUUUAUCAAGGGCUUCAGAAAUCUGAAAACAACUAUGAACAGAAUGUACCAUAACAGUGGGCUCUGCAAGAUAUUUUUAAAGUGUAACUCUGUGCCCUGUGUCCUUCACAAAACAACAACAAGAAAUGGGCCCAUAAGUGACAAGAAGGCUGUUAUAAAUUUGAAUAACUCAAACAGUACUUGGAACAGACAAGUAGUGGACUCUAAAUGCAGGAUUUUUCUAAAGUACAUACAACUGAAAAGAAUAUUUCAAGGAUAAAGACGAAGAUUCAAUCAGUCCUUGGUCAGUGCAGGUGGUGGUAUAGAAACAAUUUCAGCAGUCUGAUCUAGAUACUAAU
This 393-nucleotide long non-coding RNA is filed under the name Bos taurus (domestic cattle). RNAcentral's name for it is "long non-coding RNA NONBTAT017207". Lineage: Eukaryota; Metazoa; Chordata; Mammalia; Artiodactyla; Bovidae. The record is from RNAcentral.